GUCGGUCCUGGGCAUGAAACCCCUUGGGUGUUUGUUCUGGGUCUCGGUGCUGGGUGGCCCCCACAGCCAAGCACGUACCCCGGAGGAGAAUUGUGUUUGGAGCAAAAGGACGUUGAAGCCAGGGGUCGGGGGCACAGAGAUGGGUAAAGGGUCCCAGGGUUAUUUUCUCCUUGGGGGUGAUGGCCACCUUGCUAAGGUCUAAGGUCUGCUGCACCUGCCCAUUAGGCAGACCCUUCUCAGGAGAAGUCAGCACUGGACACAGCCAUGACAUUGUCUAGGGGAUGGGGACACUCACUUCCUCUCCUGAAGGGCGUGCUGACCUUGGUCUUGCUGACUCUGGGGCUGGGGCCGCUGUGAUCUCAAGGAGUCUGGGCACAUGGACGCCAUGUGAUGAGGGCGCUGUUGACUUUUCGUGUCCCAUGGUGUGCUUGGCAAACAGGGAGCUUUACCCAAGGCCACCUUGUCCCCAUUGGCUGGGUUGGGAGCUGUGCAGCGGGAGGCAGAGGACGGGGCUCUCUGGCGCGGGCUCGCCCCUCCAGCUGGCCCAGGUUUCCGACCCGGGGAGGCUGACCACUCAGGUAAAGAAGAAAUUCAGGAACUGGCUCCGGGUGGCCGGCACUCCUGGAGGCCUCUGAACCUUCUUCUGUUGCUGUACCUGUGGCUGGACCAUUUCCCAGGUGAGGACCGGCUGGGAUCCCCAGCGCGGGGCUUUCAGACACUUGGAUCCUCUCUGCCCGGCCCUGUGAGCCCCAAUGGGGGCCCCUUUGUGUUAUGAGGCCAUAGCGUUGGAGCUGGAGGAGGCGACCUAACUGUCUCUUCUCCCAGGAAAGCAUGUUCGGGAAAGGCCAGCAGUGGGGGGUGGGGGGUGUGCAGAGGCCGCGCAGGUGUGCGCGGGGAUGCACAUCUGUGCUCGAGCGUGCAUGUGUGUCUGUGUGCACGGGUGCGUGUGUGGCAGACCCACAAGGGCGGGCGGAUGCUGUCAUUUCAGAAACGGUGUGGGGAUAUUUCUGAGGACGUCCUCUCCGGCCGCAGUGGGGACAGUCAACGACCCCGCGCUCCUGGCCCACGCCGCUCCCUGGAUCCGCACGCCGGGCCCUUCGGAUCAGACCGGGGCCAUCUGCCCCGCUUUCCCGGGAGGGGUCUGCGCCCGGAGAGGCGGAGGCCGGGCCCCGCGUCAGUCACCAGCGAGGCUGGGGUGGGCCCCGCCGGGAGGCCGAGGGUCACCGCGAGGGCG
Molecule: long non-coding RNA, 1234 nt
Filed under: Mustela putorius furo (domestic ferret)
Lineage: Eukaryota; Metazoa; Chordata; Mammalia; Carnivora; Mustelidae
Description: lncRNA (ENSMPUG00000030808.1)
Source: RNAcentral